GGUCCAGUAGCUCAGUGGUUAGAGCAUGGGCAGAUAUAGCCAGGGGGUCCUUGGUCCAAUCCCAGGUUGAGUCA
Non-coding RNA from Hysterangium stoloniferum, 74 nucleotides. NCBI's taxonomy places the organism in Eukaryota, Fungi, Basidiomycota, Agaricomycetes, Hysterangiales, Hysterangiaceae. The record is from the annotation of a GenBank genome assembly.